This 978-nucleotide ribosomal RNA is filed under the name uncultured marine bacterium. RNAcentral's name for it is "bacterial SSU rRNA". It matches the Rfam family "Bacterial small subunit ribosomal RNA", at positions 60 to 1046 of the family's 1533-position model. The record is from RNAcentral.
AGUCGAGCGAAGCUUUUCAGUAGUUUACUACAGAAAAUGACUGAGCGGCGAACAGGUGAGUAACGCGUGAGCAACCUACCUUAGUUUCUGGGAUAGCCCGAGGAAACUCGGAUUAAUACCGGAUAUUCUUAUUUAAUCACAUGAUUUUUUAAGGAAAGGUCAGCCGAACUAAGAUGGGCUCGCGUUCUAUCAGCUAGUUGGUAGGGUAAUGGCCUACCAAGGCAACGACGGAUAGCUGGUCUGAGAGGACGAUCAGCCACACUGGGACUGAGACACGGCCCAGACUCCUACGGGAGGCUGCAGCAGGGAAUAUUGCGCAAUGGGCGAAAGCUUGACGCAGCGACACCGCGUGUGGGAUGACGGAUCUAGGUUUGUAAACCACUUUCAGGAGGGAAGAAAAUGACGGUACCUCCACAAGAAGCCCCGGCCAACUACGUGCCAGCAGCCGCGGUAAUACGUAGGGGGCGAGCGUUGUCCGGAUUUAUUGGGCGUAAAGAGCUCGUAGGCGGUUCAACAAGUCGGUCGUGAAAGUUCAGGGCUCAACCCUGAAAUGUCGAUCGACACUGUUGUGACUAGGAUACGGUAGAGGUGAGUGGAAUUCCGAGUGUAGCGGUGAAAUGCGUAGAUAUUCGGAGGAACACCAAUUGCGAAGGCAGCUCACUGGGCCGCUAUCGACGCUGAGGAGCGAAAGCUAGGGGAGCAAACAGGAUUAGAUACCCUGGUAGUCCUAGCUGUAAACGAUGGAUACUAGACGUAGGAAUUGGAUUAACGAUUUCCGUGUCGUAGCUAACGCGUUAAGUAUCCCGCCUGGGGAGUACGGUCGCAAGACUAAAACUCAAAGGAAUUGACGGGACCCCGCACAAGCGGCGGAGCAUGCGGCUUAAUUCGAUGAUACCCGUAGAACCUUACCUGGACUUGACAUAUAGGGAAAAGUUAUAGAAAUAUAAUGUGCAUUAGCGCCCUAUACAGGUGGUGCAU